UUUUAAGUUGCAUUUGUGAAGGUACUUCUAAACUAUAGUAAAUUUUUCCUGGACAGACCCCUGCUUACAGAAAAUUAAACAACAUCCUUGCCUAAUCAGGGAUUUCAACUCUACACAGUCCCUUCGGUUUAUUGAAAUAACUAGGAAAUUCACCAAAAAGUUUAACAUUUACCUCUAAUUCCGUUAUCUGGGGACAAGAUUAUCGGGCACUACACGGUUUAUUUAAUUCCAACUUUAUAGUUGGCAAAGUUAGUUGUCUUUGAAUUUAGUUGUGUAAAUUUGACGUAUCUUCCUGAGGAGUAUGGAAUAUCCUUCACUGUUACUAUAGAUAAGCUUACUAUUUAUAAUGAAACCAUAUCAG
Molecule: non-coding RNA, 361 nt
Organism: Parasteatoda tepidariorum (common house spider)
Lineage: Eukaryota; Metazoa; Arthropoda; Arachnida; Araneae; Theridiidae
Source: RefSeq, a predicted model, not a curated record